CCUACGGGUGGCAGCAGUGGGGAAUAUUGCACAAUGGGCGCAAGCCUGAUGCAGCCAUGCCGCGUGUGUGAAGAAGGCCUUCGGGUUGUAAAGCACUUUCAGCGGGGAGGAAGGCGUUAAGGUUAAUAACCUGGGCGAUUGACGUUACCCGCAGAAGAAGCACCGGCUAACUCCGUGCCAGCAGCCGCGGUAAUACGGAGGGUGCAAGCGUUAAUCGGAAUUACUGGGCGUAAAGCGCACGCAGGCGGUCUGUCAAGUCGGAUGUGAAAUCCCCGGGCUCAACCUGGGAACUGCAUUCGAAACUGGCAGGCUAGAGUCUUGUAGAGGGGGGUAGAAUUCCAGGUGUAGCGGUGAAAUGCGUAGAGAUCUGGAGGAAUUCCGGUGGCGAAGGCGGCCCCCUGGACAAAGACUGACGCUCAGGUGCGAAAGCGUGGGGAGCAAACAGGAUUAGAUACCCGGGUAGUC
This 465-nucleotide ribosomal RNA is filed under the name uncultured Klebsiella sp. RNAcentral's name for it is "bacterial SSU rRNA". It matches the Rfam family "Bacterial small subunit ribosomal RNA", at positions 338 to 795 of the family's 1533-position model. The record is from RNAcentral. Lineage: Bacteria; Pseudomonadati; Pseudomonadota; Gammaproteobacteria; Enterobacterales; Enterobacteriaceae.